This 249-nucleotide unclassified non-coding RNA is filed under the name uncultured fungus. RNAcentral's name for it is "partial contains 5.8S ribosomal RNA, internal transcribed spacer 2, and large subunit ribosomal RNA". The stretch from base 1 to 52 matches the Rfam family "5.8S ribosomal RNA", at positions 103 to 154 of the family's 154-position model. The record is from RNAcentral. Lineage: Eukaryota; Fungi.
AACGCACAUUGCGCCCUUUGGUAUUCCGAAGGGCAUGCCUGUUCGAGCGUCAUUGCAACCCUCAAGCACUGCUUGGUAUUGGGCCUCGUCCCCGCGACGUGCCCGCAAUUUCGUGGCGGUCCAGUGAGACUUGAAGCGUAGCAAGAUUUAUAUCCCGCUUUGCAAGUCUCUCGCUGCGUGCCGGCCAAACAACCCUUAUAUUUUUCAAUGGUUGACCUCGGAUCAGGUAGGGAUACCCGCUGAACUUAA